GCCGGAAUAGCUCAGUCGGUAGAGCAACGCAUUCGUAAUGCGUAGGUCGGGAGUUCGAGUCUCCCUUCCGGCA
RNAcentral lists this transfer RNA (73 nucleotides) under Gammaproteobacteria bacterium. RNAcentral's name for it is "tRNA-Thr". It matches the Rfam family "tRNA". Rfam says of the family: Transfer RNA (tRNA) molecules are approximately 80 nucleotides in length. Their secondary structure includes four short double-helical elements and three loops (D, anti-codon, and T loops). The record is from RNAcentral. Lineage: Bacteria; Pseudomonadati; Pseudomonadota; Gammaproteobacteria.